UUGAAAAAUAACCUUGAGAGAGUCCAUCCCUCUAACUCCAGGUUCUUUGAACUGACUGCACCAUGGACUACACCAUAGUCAAGCCAUAGUGACCCCUGUGACCUACACAUCCACCUCCAGAUGGCCUCCUGGAGUCAGAAAGUCUAAGGAACUUCUUGAAGAACCAUUCUAAUGUCCAUUGUGUGACAUCUGCACCACACCGAUCUGACAAAUGAAAGUGGUGAGAUGCAGCUACGGGCUGGCUGAGACCCAAAAA
Non-coding RNA from Saimiri boliviensis boliviensis (Bolivian squirrel monkey), 256 nucleotides. The record is from RefSeq and is a predicted model, not a curated record. NCBI's taxonomy places the organism in Eukaryota, Metazoa, Chordata, Mammalia, Primates, Cebidae.